This 253-nucleotide ribosomal RNA is filed under the name uncultured bacterium. RNAcentral describes it as "partial 16S ribosomal RNA". It matches the Rfam family "Bacterial small subunit ribosomal RNA", at positions 524 to 776 of the family's 1533-position model. The record is from RNAcentral.
UACAGAGGUCUCAAGCGUUGUUCGGAUUCAUUGGGCGUAAAGGGUGUGUAGGUGGCGCCGUAAGUCGGGUGUGAAAUUUCGGAGCUUAACUCCGAAACUGCAUUCGAUACUGCGGUGCUUGAGGACUGGAGAGGAGACUGGAAUUCAUGGUGUAGCAGUGGAAUGCGUAGAGAUCGUGAGGAAGACCAGUGGCGAAGGCGGGUCUCUGGACAGUUCCUGACACUGAGGCACGAAGGCCAGGGGAGCAAACGGG